This 87-nucleotide unclassified non-coding RNA is filed under the name Pseudomonas trivialis. The record is from RNAcentral. Lineage: Bacteria; Pseudomonadati; Pseudomonadota; Gammaproteobacteria; Pseudomonadales; Pseudomonadaceae.
GUGAGAGGGGGCUUGCUCCCGAUGGCUGAGUGUCAGUCAACUUAUUGGUAGCUGACACACUGCUAUCGGGAGCAAGCCCCCUCCCAC